RNAcentral lists this ribosomal RNA (473 nucleotides) under uncultured bacterium. RNAcentral describes it as "SSU rRNA". It matches the Rfam family "Bacterial small subunit ribosomal RNA", at positions 26 to 518 of the family's 1533-position model. The record is from RNAcentral.
AGGACGAACGCUGGCGGCGUGCUUAACACAUGCAAGUCGAGCGGAAAGGCCCUUCGGGGUACUCGAGCGGCGAACGGGUGAGUAACACGUGAGUAAUCUGCCCCUAGCUCUGGGAUAGCUCCGGGAAACCGGGAUUAAUACUGGAUACGACCACCUUAGACAUCUUUUGUGGUGGAAAGAAUUUCGGCUAGGGAUGAGCUCGCGGCCUAUCAGCUUGUUGGUGGGGUAACGGCCUACCAAGGCGACGACGGGUAGCCGGCCUGAGAGGGCGACCGGCCGACACUGGGACUGAGACACGGCCCAGACUCCUACGGGAGGCAGCAGUGGGAAUAUUGCGCAAUGGGCGAAAGCCUGACGCAGCGACGCCGCGUGGGGGAUGAAGGCCUUCGGGUUGUAAACCCUUUCAGCAGGGACGAAGCGAAAGUGACGGUACCUGCAGAAGAAGCGCCGGCUAACUACGCGCCAGCAGCCGC